UAGGGAAUCUUCCGCAAUGGGCGAAAGCCUGACGGAGCAACGCCGCGUGAGUGAUGAAGGUCUUCGGAUCGUAAAACUCUGUUAUUAGGGAAGAACAAAUGUGUAAGUAACUAUGCACGUCUUGACGGUACCUAAUCAGAAAGCCACGGCUAACUACGUGCCAGCAGCCGCGGUAAUACGUAGGUGGCAAGCGUUAUCCGGAAUCAUUGGGCGUAAAGCGCGCGUAGGCGGUUUUUUAAGUCUGAUGUGAAAGCCCACGGCUCAACCGUGGAGGGUCAUUGGAAACUGGAAAACUUGAGUGCAGAAGAGGAAAGUGGAAUUCCAUGUGUAGCGGUGAAAUGCGCAGAGAUAUGGAGGAACACCAGUGGCGAAGGCGACUUUCUGGUCUGUAACUGACGCUGAUGUGCGAAAGCGUGGGGAUCAAACAGG
This 429-nucleotide ribosomal RNA is filed under the name Actinomycetes bacterium. RNAcentral describes it as "Actinobacteria bacterium partial 16S ribosomal RNA". It matches the Rfam family "Bacterial small subunit ribosomal RNA", at positions 355 to 776 of the family's 1533-position model. Lineage: Bacteria; Bacillati; Actinomycetota; Actinomycetes. The record is from RNAcentral.